Molecule: ribosomal RNA, 823 nt
Filed under: uncultured bacterium
Lineage: Bacteria
Description: bacterial SSU rRNA
Rfam family: Bacterial small subunit ribosomal RNA
Source: RNAcentral
UUNUGAACUGGGUGACUAGAGUGUNUCAGAGGGAGGUAGAAUUCCACGUGUAGCAGUGAAAUGCGUAGAGAUGUGGAGGAAUACCGAUGGCGAAGGCAGCCUCCUGGGAUAACACUGACGUUCAUGCCCGAAAGCGUGCGUAGCAAACAGGAUUAGAUACCCUGGUAGUCCACGCCCUAAACGAUGUCGAUUAGCUGUUGGGCAGCAUGACUGCUUGGUAGCGAAGCUAACGCGUGAAAUCGACCGCCUGGGGAGUACGGUCGCAAGAUUAAAACUCAAAGGAAUUGACGGGGACCCGCACAAGCGGUGGAUGAUGUGGAUUAAUUCGAUGCAACGCGAAGAACCUUACCUGGUCUUGACAUGUACGGAACCCUUCAGAGACGGAGGGGUGCCUUCGGGAGCCGUAACACAGGUGCUGCAUGGCUGUCGUCAGCUCGUGUCGUGAGAUGUUGGGUUAAGUCCCGCAACGAGCGCAACCCUUGUCAUUAGUUGCCAUCAUUAAGUUGGGCACUCUAAUGAGACUGCCGGUGACAAGCCGGAGGAAGGUGGGGAUGACGUCAAGUCCUCAUGGCCCUUAUGACCAGGGCUUCACACGUCAUACAAUGGUCGGUACAGAGGGUAGCCAAGCCGCGAGGUGGAGCCAAUCUCACAAAACCGAUCGUAGUCCGGAUUGCACUCUGCAACUCGAGUGCAUGAAGUCGGAAUCGCUAGUAAUCGCAGGUCAGCAUACUGCGGUGAAUACGUUCCCGGGUCUUGUACACACCGCCCGUCACACCAUGGGAGUGGGGGAUACCAGAAGUAGGUAGGGUAACCGCAAGGAGCC